AAAUUAUAAUAUUAAGUUAUAUUAUAUAUUAUUUAAUAAGAUUAUUAUUAUUAUAAUAUAUAAUAUAGUUUUUUCUGUGAGUUUGAUCCUGGCUCAGGACGAACGCUGGCGGCGUGCCUAAUACAUGCAAGUCGAGCGGACUUUCAAGAAGCUUGCUUUUUGAAAGUUAGCGGCGGACGGGUGAGUAACACGUGGGCAACCUGCCUGCAAGACGGGGAUAACUCCGGGAAACCGGGGCUAAUACCGGAUAAUAUCUUCCUUCGCAUGAAGGAAGGUUGAAAGGCGGCGCAAGCUGCCGCUUGCAGAUGGGCCCGCGUCGCAUUAGCUAGUUGGUGAGGUAACGGCUCACCUAGGCGACGAUGCGUAGCCUACCUGAGAGGGUGAUCGGCCACAGUGGGACUGAUUACACGGCCCCGACUCCUAGGGGAGGCAGCAGUAUGGAAUCUUCCGCUAUGAGACGACAGUCUGACGGAUCAACGCCGCGUGAUUCGAAGAAGGUCUUCGGAUCGUAAAGCUCUGUUGCUCAGGGAAGAACAAGUGUCCGUUCGAACAGGGCGGUACCUUGACGGUACCUGACCAGAAAGCCACGGCUAACUACGUGCCAGCAGCCGCGGUAAUACGUAGGUGGCAAGCGUUGUCCGGAAUUAUUGGGCGUAAAGCGCGCGCAGGCGGUCUCUUAAGUCUGAUGUGAAAGCCCACGGCUCAACCGUGGAGGGUCAUUGGAAACUGGGAGACUUGAGUGCAGAAGAGGAGAGCGGAAUUCCACGUGUAGCGGUGAAAUGCGUAGAGAUGUGGAGGAACACCAGUGGCGAAGGCGGCUCUCUGGUCUGUAACUGACGCUGAGGCGCGAAAGCGUGGGGAGCGAACAGGAUUAGAUACCCUGGUAGUCCACGCCGUAAACGAUGAGUGCUAAGUGUUAGAGGGCUUCCACCCUUUAGUGCUGCAGCUAACGCAUUAAGCACUCCGCCUGGGGAUACGCCCCCGU
RNAcentral lists this ribosomal RNA (985 nucleotides) under Bacillus smithii. RNAcentral describes it as "bacterial SSU rRNA". It matches the Rfam family "Bacterial small subunit ribosomal RNA", at positions 1 to 891 of the family's 1533-position model. The record is from RNAcentral. Lineage: Bacteria; Bacillati; Bacillota; Bacilli; Caryophanales; Bacillaceae.